RNAcentral lists this ribosomal RNA (497 nucleotides) under uncultured bacterium. RNAcentral describes it as "partial 16S ribosomal RNA". It matches the Rfam family "Bacterial small subunit ribosomal RNA", at positions 28 to 507 of the family's 1533-position model. The record is from RNAcentral.
GAUGAACGCUGGCGGCGUGCCUAAUACAUGCAAGUUGAGCGAACAGAUGAGGAGCUUGCUCCUCUGACGUUAGCGGCGGACGGGUGAGUAACACGUGGAUAACCUACCUAUAAGACUGGGAUAACUUCGGGAAACCGGAGCUAAUACCGGAUAAUAUAUUGAACCGCAUGGUUCAAUAGUGAAAGACGGUUUUGCUGUCACUUAUAGAUGGAUCCGCGCCGCAUUAGCUAGUUGUUAAGGUAACGGCUUACCAAGGCAACGAUGCGUAGCCGACCUGAGAGGGGGAUCGGCCACACUGGAGCUGAGACACGGACCAGACUCCUACGGCAGGCAGCAGUAGGGAAUCGGCCGCAAUGGGCGAAAGCCUGACGGAGCAACGCCGCGUGAGUGAUGAAGGUCUCCGGAUCGUAAAACUCUGUUAUUAGGGAAGAACAAAUGUGUAAGUAACUAUGCACGUCUUGACGGUACCUGAACAGAAAGCCACGGCUAACUACGUG